This 253-nucleotide ribosomal RNA is filed under the name uncultured bacterium. Its description in RNAcentral is "partial 16S ribosomal RNA". It matches the Rfam family "Bacterial small subunit ribosomal RNA", at positions 524 to 776 of the family's 1533-position model. The record is from RNAcentral.
UACGUAGGGGGCAAGCGUUGUCCGGAAUUAUUGGGCGUAAAGAGCGCGUAGGCGGUCCGGUAAGUCGGUUGUGAAAGUCGGGGGCUCAACCCUCGGAUGCCGAUCGAUACUGUCGGGCUAGAGUCCGGAAGAGGCGAGUGGAAUUCCUGGUGUAGCGGUGAAAUGCGCAGAUAUCAGGAAGAACACCAAUGGCGAAAGCAGCUUUCUGGGACGGUACUGACGCUGCGACGCGAAAGCGUGGGGAGCGAACAGG